RNAcentral lists this ribosomal RNA (252 nucleotides) under uncultured bacterium. RNAcentral's name for it is "partial 16S ribosomal RNA". It matches the Rfam family "Bacterial small subunit ribosomal RNA", at positions 524 to 776 of the family's 1533-position model. The record is from RNAcentral.
UACGGAGGAUGCGAGCGUUAUCCGGAUUUAUUGGGUUUAAAGGGUGCGUAGGCGGGCUUUUAAGUCAGCGGUAAAAAUUCGGUGCUCAACGCCGUCGAGCCGUUGAAACUGGCGUUCUUGAGUGGGCGAGAAGUAUGCGGAAUGCGUGGUGUAGCGGUGGAAUGCAUAGAUAUCACGCAGAACUCCGAUUGCGAAGGCAGCAUACCGGCGCCCUACUGACGCUGAGGCACGAAAGCGUGGGUAUCGAACAGG